UCUCCAGUUAUCAUAGAAACCCUAAACAACCCCCAAUUUGCCAACUCCCAAAACCUCUUUAAACUGUUGGCAGAUAUCCUCUAUCCGUAUAGUGAGAUUAACACAACCACGCAUGCAUUUAGCAUACUCAACCUUCUAGACAACUUUGAAUUUCAACCACAGAAGUAUCUUCCAUUUCAUCAACAAUCAAGAGUACUAGCCUUUUCUCUCUUUCAGAAAAAAAAUCCAGUUCACCAAUAUAACACUAACUUUCAGCAACGAUUGCCUCAGUCUUCUCAAAACCCUAUGAAGAAAAAAAAAACCCCAAUUCUUUGUUUUUUCCUGAAAGCAUGAAGCUAGCUCUCCGACCCUUAAAACCCUAAUUUUCUCCUCUUUUGAUUUCUUAAC
RNAcentral lists this long non-coding RNA (387 nucleotides) under Physcomitrium patens. Its description in RNAcentral is "long non-coding RNA (PPAT_LNC013550)". The record is from RNAcentral. Lineage: Eukaryota; Viridiplantae; Streptophyta; Bryopsida; Funariales; Funariaceae.